CAGAUGCAGAGGUGCAGGUGCACCGUGGUGCGCGAGCCCUGGAUCGGCCGCACCAGCAGGAAGUGCCCCCUCCCACCUCCCGGAGGUGAUGCCGCCUGGUGACUGCAUAUCCUCGAACGGUGGACGCUGAGGUUAUUUAUGGGAAGUGUGCAGAGUUCUGACACAUUAGCAGGCUCCAGGAACCGCCUCGACUCCUUCUCCAGCUCCAGGCCAUCCUCACACUGUCUUCCCAGGGCCUCUACCUGUGCACAGUCUCGGGUCCUCCAGGUUGAGCUCCAAGCCGGGUGGGCACUGACAGGUGUAGCUGCCCUGGGUGUUGAUGCAGAUGCUGCGGCCUUUACAGAUUUUGGGUUUCUGCUGACAUUCAUCCACAUCUGCAAGGGGAAGGAGAGGAUGAUGGAUGCCUGCAGCUGUGGACAGCCUUCUGGGCUGGGGGGUUGGCCACAUUUCCUGGCCUAGAAGCAUCCAGAAGGGCCCGCUCUCUCUUCCCCGGUGAGUGGGUCUUUUCUAAUUCACAUGGAGGCAUCCUAUAGGUGAGCAUGGC
Molecule: long non-coding RNA, 544 nt
Organism: Balaenoptera ricei (Rice's whale)
Lineage: Eukaryota; Metazoa; Chordata; Mammalia; Artiodactyla; Balaenopteridae
Exons: 3
Source: RefSeq, a predicted model, not a curated record